GUGGCCGUGCGGGUGCUAUACAUGCAGUCGAGCGCAGGAAGUUAUCUGAUCCUCUUUUAGAGGUGACGAUAAUGGAAUGAGCGGCGGACGGGUGAGUAACACGUAGGCAACCUGCCUGUAAGACUGGGAUAACUCGUGGAAACGCGAGCUAAUACCGGAUAACACUUUUCAUCUCCUGAUGAUAAGUUGAAAGGCGGCUUUUGCUGUCACUUACAGAUGGGCCUGCGGCGCAUUAGCUAGUUGGUAAGGUAAUGGCUUACCAAGGCGACGAUGCGUAGCCGACCUGAGAGGGUGAUCGGCCACACUGGGACUGAGACACGGCCCAGACUCCUACGGGAGGCAGCAGUAGGGAAUCUUCCGCAAUGGACGAAAGUCUGACGGAGCAACGCCGCGUGAGUGAUGAAGGUUUUCGGAUCGUAAAACUCUGUUGUUAGGGAAGAACAAGUGCCAUAGUAACUGAUGGCACCUUGACGGUACCUAACCAGAAAGCCACGGCUAACUACGUGCCAGCAGCCGCGGUAAUACGUAGGUGGCAAGCGUUGUCCGGAAUUAUUGGGCGUAAAGCGCUCGCAGGCGGUUCUUUAAGUCUGAUGUGAAAUCUUACGGCUCAACCGUAAACGUGCAUUGGAAACUGGGGAACUUGAGUGCAGAAGAGGAGAGUGGAAUUCCACGUGUAGCGGUGAAAUGCGUAGAGAUGUGGAGGAACACCAGUGGCGAAGGCGACUCUCUGGUCUGUAACUGACGCUGAGGAGCGAAAGCGUGGGGAGCGAACAGGAUUAGAUACCCUGGUAGUCACGCCGUAAACGAUGAGUGCUAGUGUUAGGGGGUUUCCGCCCUUAGUGCUGAAGUUACGCAUUAAGCACUCCGCCUGGGGAGUACGGCGCAAGGCUGAAACUCAAAAGAUUGACGGGGGCCGCCAGCGGUGAGCAUGUGGUUAUUCGAAUCACGCGAAGAACUUACAGUCUUGACUCCUCUGAACACUCUAAGAUAGAGUUUCCAUCCGGCACAAUGCAGUUGGUCAUGGUGUCAGCGUCUCUGUCUGAAAGUUGGUUAUUCCCGCACAGGCGCAUCCUUGACUAUUUGCCAUCAUGUGUACUCAGUGGCUUGCGGGACAUCCCGAUGAAAGGGAAGAACUGUACUAUCUGCCCUUAUAGUCUGC
RNAcentral lists this ribosomal RNA (1159 nucleotides) under Oceanobacillus kimchii. RNAcentral describes it as "bacterial SSU rRNA". It matches the Rfam family "Bacterial small subunit ribosomal RNA", at positions 36 to 1212 of the family's 1533-position model. The record is from RNAcentral. Lineage: Bacteria; Bacillati; Bacillota; Bacilli; Caryophanales; Bacillaceae.